RNAcentral lists this long non-coding RNA (318 nucleotides) under Dasypus novemcinctus (nine-banded armadillo). RNAcentral's name for it is "lncRNA (ENSDNOG00000050832.1)". Lineage: Eukaryota; Metazoa; Chordata; Mammalia; Cingulata; Dasypodidae. The record is from RNAcentral.
CUCCAGGAAAGGAGAAGGUGCUGCACACGGUGGGAAGUCUGAGUUACAACAGCUUGCAGAACUGCUCUUCUGGGACAAUGCCUCAGGGGUAGUGCUGCAGAAAGAAGAUUGCCCACUACAGUAUGAAUAAGAAGACAAGCUGCUCCACAGAAUGGAACAGAUGUCUGUGAUUAUCCAACAGCAAGGUAAACACAGCCCCAGGGAGAUGGCACCCACAUGCAACCAGCUGCUGCCGCUUUGGAUUUUGGGAGAGAAGGUAAGCAUGUUCAAUAAAACCUAUUUUUCUGGAGGCUUCACUCUGUACCUAUCAAAUUCCAC